UACGAAGGGGGCUAGCGUUGCUCGGAAUGACUGGGCGUAAAGGGCGCGUAGGCGGAUUGUACAGUCAGGCGUGAAAUUCCCGGGCUCAACCUGGGGGCUGCGCUUGAGACGUGCGAUCUUGAGUGGGGGAAGAGGGGUCGUGGAAUUCCCAGUGUAGAGGUGAAAUUCGUAGAUAUUGGGAAGAACACCGGUGGCGAAGGCGGCGACCUGGUCCUUGACUGACGCUGAGGCGCGAAGCGUGGGGAGCAAACAGG
This 254-nucleotide ribosomal RNA is filed under the name uncultured bacterium. Its description in RNAcentral is "partial 16S ribosomal RNA". It matches the Rfam family "Bacterial small subunit ribosomal RNA", at positions 524 to 776 of the family's 1533-position model. The record is from RNAcentral.